RNAcentral lists this unclassified non-coding RNA (251 nucleotides) under Hevea brasiliensis (rubber tree). Lineage: Eukaryota; Viridiplantae; Streptophyta; Magnoliopsida; Malpighiales; Euphorbiaceae. The record is from RNAcentral.
GAAAAUCAAAGAACUAAAGCAUACAAUGAGUACUACUUUAAAGGUAUUGAUGUUCCCAUUUUUGGCUUAUGGACACAUAUCUCCAUAUCUAAACGUAGCUAAGAAGCUUGCGGACAGAGGAUUCUUGAUUUACUUGUGUUCAACACCGAUAAAUCUCAAAUCCACCAUCAACAAAAUCCCCGAAAAGUAUGCUGAUUCGAUUCAGCUUAUCGAACUUCACUUACCAGAAUUACCCGAACUUCCUCCUCAUU